AGGACGAACGCUGGCGGCGUGCUUAACACAUGCAAGUCGAGCGGUAAGGCCUUUCGGGGUACACGAGCGGCGAACGGGUGAGUAACGACGUGGGUGAUCUGCCCUGCACUUCGGGAUAAGCCUGGGAAACUGGGUCUAAUACCGGAUAUGACUUCAGGUUGCGUGACGUUGGGGUGGAAAGAUUUA
This 186-nucleotide ribosomal RNA is filed under the name uncultured soil bacterium. Its description in RNAcentral is "partial 16S ribosomal RNA". It matches the Rfam family "Bacterial small subunit ribosomal RNA", at positions 26 to 212 of the family's 1533-position model. The record is from RNAcentral.